Molecule: non-coding RNA, 636 nt
Organism: Arachis ipaensis
Lineage: Eukaryota; Viridiplantae; Streptophyta; Magnoliopsida; Fabales; Fabaceae
Source: RefSeq, a predicted model, not a curated record
UUUAGUGCUUGUCUUGCCUUAUCUUUUUCGUCUAAACCAAUGUCUCCGUCAGUACAAAGAUACCGGGGAGAAAACUUGUCUUUUGAAUGAUUGGAAGAUUAGGUGGUGGAGGAUCAGAUUAUAAACCUUUUGUGCAGCAUGUGGGAAUUCCAUCAAUUGAUAUAGCCUUUGGAGGAGAAUUUCUUGUGCCAAAAAGGGAAGCAUCAGUGAGAAUUUCCUUGUGCCAGAAUUUCUUGUAUAUCAAGAAUGCUGUUGCAUCAUCAAACUUAACUCCUUGAGACACCAAAUUUAAGAGAACAAUGGUUUUCUCUAGUUGAUGAUUUGCUGCAUUAGCUCCAAUAAUGCGAACCUGGUUGCGACUCAACAAAAGACUGGCUGCAAUUUCCUCAGCUAGCUUGAAAACCAAAGGGAAGAACUUGUAUAUUGCAAUGCUGAUGUGGAGUUUAACUUGAAGUGGCCACACAACCACAAGGAGAUCCAGGAGGUGUAUUUGUCAAUGGCUCUGAGCAAGUCACCAUCAUGCAAUCUAAAAGGAAUAGGAUCAAUAUAAAAUCUUGUUUGUUUAAAUUGUUGAAAAUGAAGGAACUAGUAGUGUCAAUGAGUAAUGUAAAUAGUUAUAGUUCUGUCAAUGGUUUA